UACGGGGGGGGCAAGCGUUGUUCGGAAUUACUGGGCGUAAAGGGCGCGUAGGCGGUUGGAUAAGUCAGCUGUGAAAACCACGGGCUUAACUCGUGGCCUGCAGUUGAGACUGUCUGGCUUGAGUGUGGGAGAGGAGAGUGGAAUUCCUGGUGUAGCGGUGAAAUGCGUAGAUAUCAGGAGGAACACCAAUGGCGAAGGCAGCUCGCUGGGACGUGACUGACGCUGAGACGCGAAAGCGUGGGGAGCAAACAGG
Molecule: ribosomal RNA, 253 nt
Filed under: uncultured bacterium
Lineage: Bacteria
Description: partial 16S ribosomal RNA
Rfam family: Bacterial small subunit ribosomal RNA
Source: RNAcentral